GGCGGACGGGUGAGUAAUGCUUGGGAACAUGCCUUGAGGUGGGGGACAACAGUUGGAAACGACUGCUAAUACCGCAUAAUGUCUACGGACCAAAGGGGGCUUCGGCUCUCGCCUUUAGAUUGGCCCAAGUGGGAUUAGCUAGUUGGUGAGGUAAGGGCUCACCAAGGCGACGAUCCCUAGCUGGUUUGAGAGGAUGAUCAGCCACACUGGAACUGAGACACGGUCCAGACUCCUACGGGAGGCAGCAGUGGGGAAUAUUGCACAAUGGGGGAAACCCUGAUGCAGCCAUGCCGCGUGUGUGAAGAAGGCCUUCGGGUUGUAAAGCACUUUCAGUAAGGAGGAAAGGUUAGUAGUUAAUACCUGCUAGCUGUGACGUUACUUACAGAAGAAGCACCGGCUAACUCCGUGCCAGCAGCCGCGGUAAUACGGAGGGUGCGAGCGUUAAUCGGAAUUACUGGGCGUAAAGCGUAC
Molecule: ribosomal RNA, 471 nt
Filed under: uncultured Pseudoalteromonas sp.
Lineage: Bacteria; Pseudomonadati; Pseudomonadota; Gammaproteobacteria; Alteromonadales; Pseudoalteromonadaceae
Description: bacterial SSU rRNA
Rfam family: Bacterial small subunit ribosomal RNA
Source: RNAcentral